UGAUAGCUUAUAUUUUCCUAUUUUGUCACUCACUCUUAUUCUCGUCAAUGAGAAGCCUGUGUUUUUUAAAAAUGCGAACGUCUAAAAACUUUGGAAACGGAAUCCUAAAUCACGUGAUAUCCAUGCUGGCAAAGUUUUAACAUACAGGUGUUUGAAAAGCCAUGAACUUCCUGAAACCUGAUGGACAUCUUCACUGUAUGAGCUACAAAUCCAGGCAGUAGGUCUUGUUUACACUUUACACUCCAUAUAACAAGGAUGUGAAUGACUUUUUUUAUGGCUUUACAAGGAGGAAGUUGAAUUCCAGCUGGAGCGUUUCCUUUCCCUGUUCCUCCUGAAUGUAGUAGUAGUAGUUUUCCUCUGUAAAGAGCUGUUUGGACUGAAGUGCACCUCAGUGAGACCCAAACAGGGGGAGGUUGUGUUAUCUGUGUUAUAUAACCUGCCUUAUACAAGCACACUGUCUUUAUAACCGAACUGGAGUGGGGGGAAAUGGACCAGAUCACAUUAAAGCCAACAUCUGGCUGAAGAAAUGAAACAUCUUAACAGUGUGUUAUUUCUAUAACGUUACUGCAAUGUGUGCAUUAUAACAGCGGUGAAAGUAUGUAAAGCACGGUUUUAUAUCCGGAUAAGAAUGCAGUAAAGCGUAAACUGAUCAUAGUAAACUCUAAUGCUCGGUGGAUGCUGGAAACUCACAAUGCAUGUAAUCGAAUUAAAUAUUCUUAUUGAGUAAGAUAGUAUAAAUGAAUCUGCAUCCGCUGAGCGCAAAAUUGGUUUGCGCAUGCGCAUUCAUUAAGCGAGGGGGGAGGGGGAGCACGCAUGCGCCGUGCAGCUCGGGCGGUGAUGUAAUGCCCAACAAUGUUGAAGGUGAAAAUAGCGAGACGAAGGCAGAGAAAGACGUCGACAGAGAGGGACUUGUGAACAAAGCAGUACUGGAUUUUCGACUUUUUAAAAAUCUAAAUAAGGAUUAAUUUAAACAAAUUAACGUUUUCAACGACGGUUUUUUCUUUAGAUCUACGGAUAUUGCCGUUUUCUGGAUGAACGACAAAACACUGGAAACUAUUUUUUUUUCCUUUCAACGUCGAUUAAGGUUGGCUUUGUGAUGACGUCACACAUACCCGUAUGUGGGCAGGGUCGGGAGCUGCGAGGGGAGAGAGGCGCACCCGGAGAUUCGACGGGGAACUGCGCAUGCGCGAUGCAGAUAGCGAGGCUAUUUACGUUCCCGAAACCUUGGCUUCGAAACGUAAACACGAAAUCUUACAUAUUACACUAACGCUAUACUGUUAAUAUUACAGUUUAUCUAUAUAUCACUUUAAGUGGGCAUAAUUGUUUAAAACAAAAUUACGCGACGAUGGCUCUAAAAAGCUCCGUUCCGCUUUUGUCGUUGCCAUGUGAACGACUUCUCAGCUGUCCAAUCAGCGAGCAGCGUGUGAAGCGUCCAGCCAAUCCCGGCGCGAGAAGAACGUGGGUGGGGGGAGAACAAAAUAGCGCAGAGACUGGACGCCAUUUAAAAAUGACGCUCUUUACACUGUUCAGUCACCGUUAAAAGCGGGACACGAGUGGUUAAAGAUGUGAGGGAUUUAAAAAUGACGUGUUUAAGUGGAGUUGCUAAAAUAUUAAGGUUUUAAAAUCGCCUAAAACCUUUACUUGUUAUGGAUUUUUAAAUCUGUGGCAGAUGAGUGAGGUGGGUGUGGCCAGCUUUGUCCCAGAAAAUGGCGGCCGUUGAUGUGAUGGAUUACACCGCCGAGUUGUUUCAGAGUUUGGUUUUUUACCUUGCGCUUUCUUUUGGCUAAACACAAAGGCUGAAAAAGGAAGCCCGCUCUCGCUAGUCGCAUCCGCUUGCCGGAAGUAGCGUGACGUCGCGGUGUGUUUGCGCUCCAACGGUUUUAACCGUCCUGCGUGCGCGCGCGCGUCAAUAUCGGUUGUGUUCUAGAAAGUACACCCGGAAGUGUGAUCAGCCAAUCAGAACACAGAUCACAGUUCCGGUAGAAAUGUAAAGCAAAGACGUUACAACUCUUUUACUUUUUAUUUUUUAAUAAACAUUUUUAAUAUUAAGUGUUUAUAAGUAUAUUGUUUACAAUGAGUUAAAAUUGCAGGAAGUUUACUUUGAGUUUAUUUACAUGCUGAGCGUUAGGUUAAAACUUUUACUCCUGAGAUUGAAUUUAAAGUCUGUUUAGUGUAAAUGACCGGUCUGAAGAUCUCUUCUCCUUCAGCAGGAGUCCUGUAGUAUUUGUAAGUGAAAGCCCUGAUUAUUGUGUGUGUGCUGAAGCAAAUCCUCUGACACCUCUCUCUCCAGCUGAGGUCAGAGUCAGGAGGAAGUGCUCAGUGGGAGGGAACUUCCUGUUCUGGGUUUAAAUCAGAGUUCUGAAACUUUUGCUGCUCUGUCGUUUACCUCGGUUUCCGUCGACCGACCGACAAACACACACCAGGUCCACUCUGUGUGGGUUAUUUAGAUUGAGGAGUGUUUUCUAAAAUAAAUACUGUGUGUGUGUUUGUGUGUGUGUGAGAGAGAGUGUGUGUGUUUUUUAGAUUGAGGAGUAUUUAUUUUCUGCUCUGAUUAAACAGUGUAUUUCCUGCUUUAAUGUUUAUUAAAUAUUGAAAUCUGAUUUUUUUUUAAGGUUUUAAAGUGAACAUGUCCGUGGGAAAUCCUGGACUCUGUGUGUGUGUGUGUGUGUGUGUGUGUGUGUGUGUGUACUUUAUUUUCUCACAGAUCUCUGACACCUCUGACCUUUCCACUGACCCCACUGACUGCUGAUUCCACUCAGCAAAUAUUACACACUUUACCUCCAUCACAUUUCAGUAACUGGGAGAAAAUAUUCUGUGUGUUUUCUCUGUGUGUGUGAACGAUAACGCAGUAAAGGAAAAAUAAACGCUUUAUAACACGUG
Hemibagrus wyckioides is the source of this 2880-nucleotide long non-coding RNA. RefSeq lists it as uncharacterized. Lineage: Eukaryota; Metazoa; Chordata; Actinopteri; Siluriformes; Bagridae. The transcript is spliced from 2 exons. The record is from RefSeq and is a predicted model, not a curated record.